CAAGUCGAACGAGACUUUUCGUUGUAGCAAUACGAUGGAAAGUUUAGUGGCGAACGGGUGCUUAACACGUGGGCAACCUGCCAUGAAGUGGGGGAUAGCUCGCCGAAAGGCGAAUUAAUACCGCAUGUGAUUAGAGAGGACAUCCUUUCGAAAUUAAAGUCGGGGCAACCUGACGCUUCUUGUGGGGCCCGCGGCCUAUCAGCUAGUUGGUGAGGUAACGGCUCACCAAGGCUUUGACGGGUAGCUGGUCUGAGAGGACGACCAGCCACACUGGGACUGAGACACGGCCCAGACACCUACGGGUGGCAGCAGUCGAGAAUUUUUGACAAUGGGGGAAACCCUGAUCGAGCGACGCCGCGUGGAGGAUGAAGGUCUUCGGAUUGUAAACUCCUGUCAUUUGGGAACAAGGUGCACACGUUAACUGCGUGCGUAUUGAUAGUACCAGAAGAGGAAGAGACGGCUAACUCUGUGCCAGCAGCCGCGGUAAUACAGAGGUCUCAAGCGUUGUUCGGAUUCAUUGGGCGUAAAGGGUGCGUAGGCGGCGCGGUAAGUCGGGUGUGAAAUCUCGGAGCUUAACUCCGAAACUGCAUUCGAUACUGCCGUGCUGGAGGACUGGAGAGGAGACUGGAAUUUACGGUGUAGCGGUGAAAUGCGUAGAUAUCGUAAGGAAGACCAGUGGCGAAGGCGGGUCUCUGGACAGUUCCUGACGCUGAGGCACGAAGGUCAGGGGAGCAAACGGGAUUAGAUACCCCGGUAGUCCUGACAGUAAACGGUGCACGUUUGGUGUGGGGAGGAUUCGACCCCUUCUGCGCCGGAGCUAACGCGUUAAACGUGCCGCCUGGGGAGUACGGUCGCAAGAUUAAAACUCAAAGAAUUGACGGGGGCCCGCACAACCGGUGGAGUAUGUGGCUCAAUUCGAUGCA
This 923-nucleotide ribosomal RNA is filed under the name uncultured Verrucomicrobiae bacterium. Its description in RNAcentral is "bacterial SSU rRNA". It matches the Rfam family "Bacterial small subunit ribosomal RNA", at positions 58 to 958 of the family's 1533-position model. The record is from RNAcentral. Lineage: Bacteria; Pseudomonadati; Verrucomicrobiota; Verrucomicrobiia.